GAGAGAGUGGCUGAGUGGUUAAAAGCGGUAGACUGUAAAUCUAUUGAAGUAAUUCUACAAAGGUUCAAAUCCUUUUUCUCUCA
This 83-nucleotide transfer RNA is filed under the name Entransia fimbriata. RNAcentral describes it as "tRNA-Tyr". It matches the Rfam family "tRNA". From Rfam's summary of the family: Transfer RNA (tRNA) molecules are approximately 80 nucleotides in length. Their secondary structure includes four short double-helical elements and three loops (D, anti-codon, and T loops). Lineage: Eukaryota; Viridiplantae; Streptophyta; Klebsormidiophyceae; Entransiales; Entransiaceae. The record is from RNAcentral.